CUCAUCUCAAUUGCCUCAUCUGUGUCACCCAUAACAAUUCUCACUGCCUUCUCUAUUUUGUCUCUGUUAAUCAAUGGUGAGUCCUCAUUUGCCCACACUUUCCAAGUCUCAUUGCCAACUGGCACUCCUAAUUUAAGCACCUGAGUUAUGAGCUUCUCAUUGUAAAACUGCUCUGCAAAAAUUGGCCAUGUGACCAUGGGCUGACCGGCACAAACACCUUCAAGAAUAGAGUUCCAGCCGCAGUGAGUUAAAAACCCUCCAAUUGCUGGGUGCUCCAGUAUUAGCAGCUGCGGGGCCCAUCCCUUUAUAAUCAAUCCUUUGCCACUGUUCUUCAACCUGUCUUCAUACUCUUCUGGCAGCCACCAGUCCUGCUGCCGAUCCAGGUUGUUAUCUUCGUUGUCAGAUUUCAGGAUUUUUCCUACAGCCCAAAUGAAAGAGUGCCUCGACUCUUCAAGUGCACUAGCAAUUUCUGAUAUUUGAAUCUUGCUAAAUCUGGUCAGGCUUCCGAAACAAAUGUAGAGAACGGACUUUGGUUUCUUGGAUUCCAGCCAAUCCAGGCAGCUAUGUUUACGUAUUGAAGUCUUGCC
RNAcentral lists this long non-coding RNA (587 nucleotides) under Populus trichocarpa (black cottonwood). RNAcentral's name for it is "long non-coding RNA (PTRI_LNC000639)". The record is from RNAcentral. Lineage: Eukaryota; Viridiplantae; Streptophyta; Magnoliopsida; Malpighiales; Salicaceae.